Carassius auratus (goldfish) is the source of this 1731-nucleotide long non-coding RNA. RefSeq lists it as uncharacterized. The record is from RefSeq and is a predicted model, not a curated record. The transcript is spliced from 3 exons. NCBI's taxonomy places the organism in Eukaryota, Metazoa, Chordata, Actinopteri, Cypriniformes, Cyprinidae.
CAGCGCCGCCGCCACCGGCCGCGGGUCUCCGCCGUUUGAGUAACCGUCGGUGAUGAGGAAGAUCGCCUUUGUGGCGUUCUCACGCGACUGCCUCAGAAUUUGCUUUCCUGUAUAGGGUUAAUGGGCUUGCUUAGUGAACCAUGAUCAUCACAGCAAGGUAUUCUAUUUCAAAACCUCGCAGACACCUUACCAUGUUAUAAAGCUGAUGUCAGCAUUCCAGAAUGGAGUAAACAUGUGACCGGAGUGCAUUCAAUUGCUUGGUUGGAGGUCUGAGCUGUUUUGACAUGUUAUGGUUCCAGUGGCAAAGAAUACCAGCAACAUGAACCUACACUGCAAAAACAAGCCCACUAGAUGGACCAAACCAUUUCAAGCAAUAGUCCUGGGCAGGAGAAAACAGCUCGCUGUUCAAUUACUACAUCUUUUUCCACAAGUCUGCAAUAAAUCCUGUAAAAAAACAUUUGAGGGUAAACAUUUUUCUCUGCAAAGCUGAGCUGUUGAAACCCUAGAUAUAAACCACAGUUUGAUUUCGCACAUGGGAGACUCCUGUUUCAUGCCUUAAGUUUAUAUGCCUCCCACUGUGCACUAUGUUCUCCUUUAGUUCUCCUUGAGUGAUUACAAUUGAUUUCAUUUCCUCAACAUGUCAGACACACUCGGCCAACUACACCUUGUUUAGAAGGACAGGAGCAGAGAUUGUUGGGCUAAUGGAUGGGGUAGGCCUAUGCAUCUACCGACUGCUGGAAGUCCCUAGAUCCUUAUUACAGUUCUCUCUGUCUGUGAAGUGAAUUGAAGAGGAUGUGCAAGUGUGCGUGGUUGGAUGGAGUUUGAAUAAAGGGAGUGUAAUUGGUCUGGAUAACACACCGGGACAGAAGGAUUGUGGAGGAUGGUUAGUUGGUUCCUGUCAAAACACCAUUUAUCAAACCAAGGACAGUAAGGCAGUGAAGGAAAUCAUUUUUAAAAGAGAGAAGGCCUUGACAAUAUUUCAUCUAAUGCAAGGGCAAAUGUGGUCUCUCUGGUGCUGCCAGCCAUGUACUAGGAACUCCGUGCAAGAACAAAGUUAUGCAAGAGCAAAAAAGAGUCUGGAUUUGGUCCUUUAAAUUAGAUUUCUCUUAUUUUAGAUCUUUAUGCCAGAACUGAGAGAGACAGAAAAUUUAGCAGUUCUUUUUAUGAAAUGAAUUGUGACUUUUGCCUGUAAUUGAAAACAAAUUUGAAUGAUAGGACUAAAUACUUGUGAAACCAAACAAGCCCCAUCAAUAUAACCAGACUCUUGGUUUGCUAAAUGACAAGAGGCAAGUGACAGAAAAGCCACAAGCCACCAAAUAGAUGCCUGUGAAGGAGACCAAAACACCGUGAAGGAAAAACAAUUAGGACAAAAUGGUUCUUAAACAUGAAUUGGUGACUGGAGAUACAGGAUAUUAGUUUUGUGGACUAUGUGGUUUAAAUAAAUAAUUUAGCAUUUAAGUAAAUCGCUUAAUCAAACCGUGGUGUGAUGUAAUGCCUUUUUUAAAAGGAAAGACUCAAAGGGGUGAAUUACCAGAUAAAUGAUAAAGUCUUUACUGUGGAGUGCAUCAGAGACUGUAAUAAUUGUAAAAAUAUUUGUUCUCAGUAUUAAAUGGCUUUUUGUGCAUAUAUUAAAUGCUUUAAGCAUCAUGUUGCUUUUAUAUUAACUGAUUCACUGAUUAUACUUUAAAAUGUCAAAUUACAAACCUCAUAUUGAUAUUUUAGAAUGUUUAC